Molecule: ribosomal RNA, 747 nt
Filed under: uncultured bacterium
Lineage: Bacteria
Description: bacterial SSU rRNA
Rfam family: Bacterial small subunit ribosomal RNA
Source: RNAcentral
AGAGUUUGAUCCUGGCUCAGGAUGAACGCUGGCGGUAUGCUUAACACAUGCAAGUCGAACGGUGUCUUCGGACACAGUGGCGGACGGGUGAGUAACGCGUGAGAAUCUGGCUUUAGGUCUGGGACAACCACUGGAAACGGUGGCUAAUACCGGAUGUGCCCUGCGGGGUGAAAGAUUAAUUGCCUGAAGAUGAGCUCGCGUCUGAUUAGCUAGUAGGUGGUGUAAUAGACUACCUAGGCGACGAUCAGUAGCUGGUCUGAGAGGACGAUCAGCCACACUGGGACUGAGACACGGCCCAGACUCCUACGGGAGGCAGCAGUGGGGAAUUUUCCGCAAUGGGCGAAAGCCUGACGGAGCAAUACCGCGUGAGGGAGGAAGGCUCUUGGGUCGUAAACCUCUUUUCUCAGGGAAGAACACAAUGACGGUACCUGAGGAAUAAGCAUCGGCUAACUCCGUGCCAGCAGCCGCGGUAAUACGGAGGAUGCAAGCGUUAUCCGGAAGGAUUGGGCGUAAAGCGUCCGCAGGUGGCUGUGUAAGUCUGCUGUUAAAGAAUCUAGCUCAACUAGAUACAAGCAGUGGAAACUACACGGCUAGAGUACGUUCGGGGCAGAGGGAAUUCCUGGUGUAGCGGUGAAAUGCGUAGAGAUCAGGAAGAACACCAGUGGCGAAGNNNNCUCUGCUAGGCCGUAACUGACACUGAGGGACGAAAGCUAGGGGAGCGAAUGGGAUUAGAUACCCUAGUAGUCC